GCCGCGGUAACUCAGUUGGGAGAGUGCAAGACUGAAGAUCUUGAAGUCGCCGGUUCGAGCCCGGCCCGCGGCACCA
RNAcentral lists this transfer RNA (76 nucleotides) under Methanobacteriota archaeon. Its description in RNAcentral is "Euryarchaeota archaeon (sediment metagenome) tRNA-Phe". It matches the Rfam family "tRNA". From Rfam's summary of the family: Transfer RNA (tRNA) molecules are approximately 80 nucleotides in length. Lineage: Archaea; Methanobacteriati; Methanobacteriota. The record is from RNAcentral.